GACGAACGCUGGCGGCGUGCUUAACACAUGCAAGUCGAACGCUGAAGCUUGGUGCUUGCACUGGGUGGAUGAGUGGCGAACGGGUGAGUAAUACGUGAGUAACCUGCCCUUGACUCUGGGAUAAGCCUGGGAAACUGGGUCUAAUACUGGAUACGACAUGCCACUGCAUGGUGGUGUGUGGAAAGGGUUUUACUGGUUUUGGAUGGGCUCACGGCCUAUCAGCUUGUUGGUGGGGUAAUGGCCUACCAAGGCGACGACGGGUAGCCGGCCUGAGAGGGUGACCGGCCACACUGGGACUGAGACACGGCCCAGACUCCUACGGGAGGCAGCAGUGGGGAAUAUUGCACAAUGGGCGGAAGCCUGAUGCAGCGACGCCGCGUGAGGGAUGACGGCCUUCGGGUUGUAAACCUCUUUCAGCACGGAAGAAGCGAGAGUGACGGUACGUACAGAAGAAGCGCCGGCUAACUACGUG
RNAcentral lists this ribosomal RNA (472 nucleotides) under uncultured bacterium. Its description in RNAcentral is "partial 16S ribosomal RNA". It matches the Rfam family "Bacterial small subunit ribosomal RNA", at positions 28 to 507 of the family's 1533-position model. The record is from RNAcentral.